AGUGAACGCUGGCGGUAGGCCUAACACAUGCAAGUCGAACGGCAGCACAGUAAGAGCUUGCUCUUACGGGUGGCGAGUGGCGGACGGGUGAGGAAUACAUCGGAAUCUACUUUUUCGUGGGGGAUAACGUAGGGAAACUUACGCUAAUACCGCAUACGACCUACGGGUGAAAGCAGGGGAUCUUCGGACCUUGCGCGAUUGAAUGAGCCGAUGUCGGAUUAGCUAGUUGGCGGGGUAAAGGCCCACCAAGGCGACGAUCCGUAGCUGGUCUGAGAGGAUGAUCAGCAACACUGGAACUGAGAAACGGUCCAGACUCCUACGGGAGGCAGCAGUGGGGAAUAUUGGACAAUGGGCGCAAGCCUGAUCCAGCCAUACCGCGUGGGUGAAGAAGGCCUUCGGGUUGUAAAGCCCUUUUGUUGGGAAAGAAAAGCAGCAGGUUAAUACCCCGCUGUUCUGACGGUACCCAAAGAAUAAGCACCGGCUAACUUCGUG
Molecule: ribosomal RNA, 492 nt
Filed under: uncultured bacterium
Lineage: Bacteria
Description: partial 16S ribosomal RNA
Rfam family: Bacterial small subunit ribosomal RNA
Source: RNAcentral